CACGUAGGGUGCGAGCGUUGUCCGGAAUUAUUGGGCGUAAAGAGCUCGUAGGCGGUGUGUCGCGUCGGCCGUGAAAACCUGCAGCUUAACUGUGGGCGUGCGGUCGAUACGGGCAUCACUGGAGUUCGGCAGGGGAGACUGGAAUUCCUGGUGUAGCGGUGAAAUGCGCAGAUAUCAGGAGGAACACCGGUGGCGAAGGCGGGUCUCCGGGCAGUAACUGACGCUGAGGAGCGAAAGCGUGGGGAGCGAACAGG
This 254-nucleotide ribosomal RNA is filed under the name uncultured bacterium. RNAcentral's name for it is "partial 16S ribosomal RNA". It matches the Rfam family "Bacterial small subunit ribosomal RNA", at positions 524 to 776 of the family's 1533-position model. The record is from RNAcentral.